Molecule: long non-coding RNA, 300 nt
Filed under: Bos taurus (domestic cattle)
Lineage: Eukaryota; Metazoa; Chordata; Mammalia; Artiodactyla; Bovidae
Description: long non-coding RNA NONBTAT011384
Source: RNAcentral
AGGCUAAAGUUUGUAAUGUCUUAACAUGGAAAGCCCAUGUUAGUAGGUAGUGGCCCAUUCUCUCUGCAGGAGAAACAUAGGGCUGGUUGAACAAAUGCUGGUAGCAAUGAAUAAGGAAUGCAGUUUGAAAGAUUUAGCAUUGAGUAUAGCCUGCCUCCUCUUAAAAAGACUCUAUUGAAAGGGAAUAGUAGAACUCUACUGGAAGUGGUUUUCAGGUGAAAUUUGGAGAAAGGCAAUCAAAUGGAGAUUUAAAAAUUUUAACAAAGUUUUGUAAUUUUGGAAGUCAAGAACCAUUACAUU